AUUGAACGCUGGCGGCAUGCCUUACACAUGCAAGUCGAACGGCAGCGGGGGAGAAGCUUGCUUUUCCUGCCGGCGAGUGGCGAACGGGUGCGUAAUACAUCGGAACGUGCCCUGUAGUGGGGGAUAACUAGUCGAAAGAUUAGCUAAUACCGCAUACGACCUGAGGGUGAAAGUGGGGGACCGCAAGGCCGCAUGCUAUAGGAGCGGCCGAUGUCUGAUUAGCUGGUUGGUGGGGUAAAGCCCUACCAAGGCGACGAUCAGUAGCUGGUCUGAGAGGACGAUCAGCCACACUGGGACUGAGACACGGCACAGACUCCUACGGGAGGCAGCAGUGGGGAAUUUUGGACAAUGGGCGAAAGCCUGAUCCAGCAAUGCCGCGUGUGUGAAGAAGGCCUUCGGGUUGUAAAGCACUUUUGUCCGGAAAGAAAUGGCUCUGGUUAAUACCUGGGGUCGAUGACGGUACCGGAAGAAUAAGGACCGGCUAACUACGUGCCAGCCGCCGCCGUAA
RNAcentral lists this ribosomal RNA (508 nucleotides) under uncultured bacterium. Its description in RNAcentral is "partial 16S ribosomal RNA". It matches the Rfam family "Bacterial small subunit ribosomal RNA", at positions 30 to 523 of the family's 1533-position model. The record is from RNAcentral.